CAGUAGCCACGGUAAUACGGAGGGUGCAAGCGUUAUCCGGAUUUAUUGGGUUUAAAGGGUCCGUAGGCGGACUUAUAAGUCAGUGGUGAAAGCCUGUCGCUUAACGAUAGAACUGCCAUUGAUACUGUAAGUCUUGAGUAUAUUUGAGGUAGCUGGAAUAAGUAGUGUAGCGGUGAAAUGCAUAGAUAUUACUUAGAACACCAAUUGCGAAGGCAGGUUACCAAGAUAUAACUGACGCUGAGGGACGAAAGCGUGGGUGGCGAACAGGAUUAGAUACCCGCGUAGUCCCUGUCUCUUAUAC
This 301-nucleotide ribosomal RNA is filed under the name uncultured bacterium. RNAcentral's name for it is "partial 16S ribosomal RNA". It matches the Rfam family "Bacterial small subunit ribosomal RNA", at positions 509 to 807 of the family's 1533-position model. The record is from RNAcentral.